UACGCUCGUCUCAAAGAUUAAGCCAUGCAUGUGUAAGUAUAAAUAAUUUUACUUUGAAACUGCGAAUGGCUCAUUAUAUCAGUUAUAGUUUAUUAGAAAUAUUUUACUACUUGGAUAACCGUAGUAAUUCUAGGGCUAAUACAUGAGUAAAACCUCAACUUCGGAAGAGGUGUGUUUAUUAGUAUGAAAACCAUAUAUCUUCGGAUAUAAUAGUGAGUAAUAAUAACCUUUCAUAUCGUAUGUCGUAAGAUAACGAUAGUUCUUUCAAGUUUCUGCCCUAUCAGCUUUCGAUGGUAGUAUAUGGGACUACCAUGGCAGUAACGGGUAACGAAGAAUUUGGGUUCGAUUUCGGAGAGGGAGCCUGAGAGAUGGCUACCACAUCCAAGGAAGGCAGCAGGCGCGUAAAUUACCCAAUCCUGACAUAGGGAGGUAGUGACAAUAAAUCACAAUGCGGAACUU
Molecule: ribosomal RNA, 459 nt
Filed under: Blastocystis sp.
Lineage: Eukaryota; Bigyra; Opalinata; Blastocystidae
Description: SSU rRNA
Rfam family: Eukaryotic small subunit ribosomal RNA
Source: RNAcentral